This 2118-nucleotide long non-coding RNA is filed under the name Corvus moneduloides (New Caledonian crow). Its description in RNAcentral is "lncRNA (ENSCMUG00000019221.1)". Lineage: Eukaryota; Metazoa; Chordata; Aves; Passeriformes; Corvidae. The record is from RNAcentral.
CCAUGCCUGGUCCAGAACAGAAUCCCCUGAUGCUCAGCUAUCCUGUUCCUCCUCAGGCCUGGCUGCUGAACCAAUCCUAACACAGCCAGCAGCCCAAGGUGAUAUCACUUGCUAACUAUGAAGGUUGGGAUUGAAAUGCCUUGUCCUUUCUCAUUUUGCUUGCCAGCACGAUCCCUCAGCUCUAGUCAGGGCCUCUUAUUAGCCUGAGAACUGAAUUUAACCAGAAUAGUAAUAGUUUGCAUGCUCAUCUGACACUAAAAGAGAAGAAUCAGUGGACAGAUUAUUGGCAUGUGGAAUUAUCUCUUUUCAGAUUUUCUGUAAUAGCGUGGCUAUUAAACUAAAGAUCAUUAAUAAUGCACCAUUUAGCUUGUUUUUGAAGGGUGGAGGAAGGACUGAGAAUAUAUGGAUGAAGAGACUGAGGAGAAGAAGCUGGAACUUCUCCCGGCAGCAGGCAGGGAGACAAAGCCCAGCUGUGCCUGUAGCACACUUUGAUGUAUUCGUAAGGCGUUGGGACAGCACAGUCAUUUCCAAAUGUAUUCACUCACAGUGGUAGCCCAGCCAGCUGGCCUGUCUGUGUUCCAAGCUGGGAAAGAUCCGUGGUCAGCAAAAGAUGAUGAUACUGGAACUGGGGCUGUGAAGAAGCCUGACUGCCUGUCUCUGCUACAGCUAGUGUCUCCUGGUGGAAAUUUGCUAAAGGAAGAAACAAGCUGCGCUGAAUGCAACACUUCUACAAAAUACAUUCAAGGCUCACCUGAUGUGACGGACAAAUUCAAAUUUACAUCCCAGCUUUCCAGCUAAGCCCAGGACUGUCUCCUCUUCUCCCUCCAAAUCACACUAGCCAUGGCAGGAUCGCAAGGUUUAUGGAGGUAAGCACCCAUUUUUUCUGACACAGUGCCCAGUGCCUAGGCUGGGAGACCAAGCUGGCAUCUGGGGUCUCUCCAGGGAUUCAUCUGACCUCACCCAGCCUCCAUCUCCAGGAGGUAUUUCUCCUUUUCUGCUGCUUCUCCUUGCUCUCAGACUCUUCCUAUUCCCAGCCCCAACUAGGGGUGAAGUGACCAAACUUCUGGUUUUAAAGCUACAUGCUUGAAACUCUUUUAGACAACAUGGUAAAAGAGGUGAUGGAUCCUGCUGUGCUUGUUUGCUUUGCAGCCUUUUGGAGGCAAUGCCAAGUAAAAUCAAGCCGCAGAAUAAAUCCUACUAACAGGAACACUUUUACAAAUAACCUCAGCUACACAGCUUCCAAGUCCUUGAGCAUUUCCACAUCUCUGCAGCCGAAAACAUAUGUUUUGUAUUGCUUCACAUAAAUCUCCCUGGUUAUUUAUCUACAUAAACCCUUCUAUAAAUUGCUCACUGGGACUUGCAGCAAGCAGGCUCUUUGAUGUGUCUCAACCACCAGGUGCAUCAAUCACUGCUGUGCACACCUUGUUUGCUCCCAUGCAGGGAGAAGUUACCAGUCCCCUUUGCUGCAAAAGGGGGCAAAGAGUCAAAUGGUUUUGAUGGAUGGAUGAAUGUCUGUGGGCUAAAAUUUAUGCCAGAACUUGUUUAUACUGAGUUACUAGCACUCCCUCCUCCCACUUAGUGAUAAAACACUGCUCCACCAGCCUUCCUUAUGACAUAUACUCCAGAUCAAGAGCCUGCACAUGAAUAUUUGAUGUCUUUGUGAGCUCCUUUUGCACUACUGCAUUUCCUAGCAUGGUGGCCAUUUCUCUCUCUACAGGAACAAGUAAAACAUCAGCCUUAUUUUGUGAUGUUAAGGUGGCAUUUUUGUUUUGUUACAGACCUGCUCCACACAGAGGUGGAUCUCACCCUUCAUCAUUAUAGCACAACAUUUAGUUCAGGGAAUGAAUCACGGGUUUAGGUUAGAGUUUAGCUAAGUAACUUCCCCGAUUGAGAGCUGACAUUGUAUUUCACAAGGGAAGUGAAGACUUACAGACAGGUAGGCAAGAUUCAUCACCCUUGAGUAGGCUGUGCUGCUGACAACACAGUGUGAUACUAUCUGGAUCAAGGCAUCACCCUGCCUCAGUUUCCCCAUUCAAAAUUAAAAUGAAUCAGUGCAAUACAUUAACUGAGAGCAUUUACUUUAUGAUGAUACAGAACUCCUGUUGGCCUCAUUGUCGG